AACUGAGCAGAGAGAGAGGCAAGGUGGGCACAGCCCCCCGAACCCUGAGCAGGCACCAUGGAUUGGAAGAAGCUUCAGGACCUGUUGAGCGGUGUGAACCAGUACUCCACCGCAUUCGGGCGCAUCUGGCUGUCGGUAGUGUUCGUCUUCCGGGUGCUGGUGUAUGUGGUGGCUGCAGAGCGUGUGUGGGGCGACGAGCAAAAAGACUUUGACUGUAACACCAGGCAGCCCGGUUGUACCAACGUGUGCUAUGACAACUUCUUCCCCAUCUCCAACAUCCGCCUCUGGGCCCUGCAGCUCAUCUUCGUCACGUGUCCCUCUAUGCUGGUCAUCCUGCACGUAGCCUACCGCGAGGAGCGGGAACGGAAGCAUCGCCAGAAGCACGGGGAGCAUUGCGCCAAACUGUACAGCCACCCGGGCAAGAAGCACGGCGGCCUGUGGUGGACCUACCUGUUCAGUCUCAUCUUCAAGCUCAUCAUUGAAU
RNAcentral lists this long non-coding RNA (484 nucleotides) under Rattus norvegicus (Norway rat). RNAcentral's name for it is "long non-coding RNA NONRATT023619". The record is from RNAcentral. Lineage: Eukaryota; Metazoa; Chordata; Mammalia; Rodentia; Muridae.